CCUACGGGAGGCAGCAGUGGGGAAUAUUGGACAAUGGGGGCAACCCUGAUCCAGCCAUGCCGCGUGUGUGAAGAAGGCCCUCGGGUUGUAAAGCACUUUCAGUGAGGAAGAACGCCUGGUGGUUAAUACCCAUCAGGAAAGACAUCACUCACAGAAGAAGCACCGGCUAACUCCGUGCCAGCAGCCGCGGUAAUACGGAGGGUGCGAGCGUUAAUCGGAAUUACUGGGCGUAAAGCGCGCGUAGGUGGCUUGAUAAGCCGGUUGUGAAAGCCCCGGGCUCAACCUGGGAACGGCAUCCGGAACUGUCAAGCUAGAGUGCAGGAGAGGAAGGUAGAAUUCCCGGUGUAGCGGUGAAAUGCGUAGAGCUCGGGAGGAAUACCAGUGGCGAAGGCGGCCUUCUGGACUGACACUGACACUGAGGUGCGAAAGCGUGGGUAGCAAACAGGAUUAGAUACCCUUGUAGUC
RNAcentral lists this ribosomal RNA (465 nucleotides) under Vreelandella stevensii. RNAcentral's name for it is "partial 16S ribosomal RNA". It matches the Rfam family "Bacterial small subunit ribosomal RNA", at positions 338 to 795 of the family's 1533-position model. The record is from RNAcentral. Lineage: Bacteria; Pseudomonadati; Pseudomonadota; Gammaproteobacteria; Oceanospirillales; Halomonadaceae.